Molecule: transfer RNA, 74 nt
Filed under: Flaviflexus sp.
Lineage: Bacteria; Bacillati; Actinomycetota; Actinomycetes; Actinomycetales; Actinomycetaceae
Description: tRNA-Leu
Rfam family: tRNA
About the family: Transfer RNA (tRNA) molecules are approximately 80 nucleotides in length. Their secondary structure includes four short double-helical elements and three loops (D, anti-codon, and T loops).
Source: RNAcentral
GCCCCCAUAGCCCAAUUGGCAGAGGCAGUCGACUUAAAAUCGACGAGUUGAGGGUUCGAAUCCCUCUGGGGGUA